AUUGAACGCUGGCGGCAUGCCUAACACAUGCAAGUCGAACGGCAGCACAGAUAUAGUUUACUAUAUUGGGUGGCGAGUGGCGGACGGGUGAGUAACGCGUGGGUAUAUAACCUAAAGACGGGGACAACUUGCGGAAACGCGAGCUAAUACCGGAUAAGCUCUGAGGAGAAAAGCUGGGGGAUCUGGCGACAGACCUGGCGCUUUAGGAGUAACCUGCGUCCAAUUAGCUAGUUGGUAGGGUAAAGGCCUACCAAGGCGACGAUUGGUAGCUGGUCUGAGAGGACGGACAGCCACACUGGGACUGAGACACGGCCCAGACUCCUACGGGAGGCAGCAGUGGGGAAUAUUGGACAAUGGGCGAAAGCCUGAUCCAGCAAUGCCGCGUGUGUGAAGAAGGCCUGAGGGUUGUAAAGGCAACUUUCGGCCGGGAAGAAAUCGUGGUCUCUAACAUAGGCCAUGGAUGACGUACCGGACUAAGAAGCACCGGCUAACUACGUG
This 498-nucleotide ribosomal RNA is filed under the name uncultured bacterium. Its description in RNAcentral is "bacterial SSU rRNA". It matches the Rfam family "Bacterial small subunit ribosomal RNA", at positions 29 to 507 of the family's 1533-position model. The record is from RNAcentral.